AAAUGUGAAUGCAAUUUAUAAUACUUUGGUUUAAGUUUCAUUUAUAUUUACAUUCUAAACUUAUGUUUUUUUAGGAGAGAUUUGCUUUAGAAGUCUCCGAUGAUUAUAUCAAGAAGGCAUUAGGUAAAAGAUGGAGAGACAAUAAAAGCACUUUAAAGAAACAAUAUUUUAAGAAAGACAUAAGCCUCGAGGAAAAACUGAGAAAUGUUCCGCCAGGAAUGCUGAGGUAUCAAUGGGAAGAUGCGGUUAGAUUUUGGAAUUCAAAGAAAGGAGAGGACCGUGAGCGAGUUGGAACAAGCGUCAGCAAAAACAAAAAUUCACGCACACGGUAGGGUCGAGAAGUUUUGCUUCUGUAGCUGAGGCCGAGGAAGUCAAAUCCGGACAAAAAGUUGGACGCCUUCAGCUUUUUGAGAUUACGCAUAGGAAGAAAGAUGGAUCUCCUAUGACAUCCGAAGCUGGAGAAAUUAUGGAGAAACUAAAGGAGAAGAAGGCGGAAUAUGAAGCGAUUGCUUCGAGUGAUAGUUCUGUUAAUCUUGAGAACAUUGAUAAUAGAAUUAUCACUGAAGUUUUGGGUCUUGAAAGGUACGGUCGGGUUCGAUUUCAAGGAUCUGGUGUUACCCCGACCCAAUAUUUUGGAUCCGGCUCCCAGCAAUACAUGCCUUCCGGAAGUCAAGCUCAAGCUGAAGUUCAGAGGUUAAGAGACCAGAUAGCUCAGAUGCAAGCGAACACGGUUGAGCAAAUUGCCGAGGUUCAACGAAAAUAUGAAGAA
Molecule: long non-coding RNA, 769 nt
Organism: Gossypium arboreum
Lineage: Eukaryota; Viridiplantae; Streptophyta; Magnoliopsida; Malvales; Malvaceae
Exons: 4
Source: RefSeq, a predicted model, not a curated record